GACGAACGCUGGCGGCGUGCUUAACACAUGCAAGUCGAACGCGCCUGUCCUCUGGGUUUCUGGGGGGUGGGUGAGGGGCGAACGGGUGAGUCACAAGUGAGUAACCUGCCCCCUUCUUCGGGAUAAAGGUCUGAAAGGCUUGCUAAUACCGGGUAUUCACUGGUCUUCGCAGGGGGUCGGGUGGAAAGGCUUUUUUCUGGUGGGGGAUGGGUUCGCGGCCUGUCCGUUUGUUGGUGGGGUGACGGCCCACCAAGGGUUUGACGGGUAGCCGGCCUGAGAGGGUGACCGGUCAGGUUGGGAGUGAGAUACGGCACUGACUCCCGCGGGAGGCAGCAGUGGGGAAUAUUGGACGAAGGGCGGAAGCAUGAGGCGGCGCCGGCGCGUGAGAGGUGGCGGCCUGCAGGUUGGGAACCUCUUUCGCACGUGCUCAAGCCGGGGCGGGAGUCGUGGUGAGGGUAAUGGGUAAAGAAGCGCCGGCUAACUACGUG
Molecule: ribosomal RNA, 488 nt
Filed under: uncultured bacterium
Lineage: Bacteria
Description: partial 16S ribosomal RNA
Rfam family: Bacterial small subunit ribosomal RNA
Source: RNAcentral